This 163-nucleotide unclassified non-coding RNA is filed under the name uncultured Nectriaceae. RNAcentral's name for it is "sequence contains ITS2". Lineage: Eukaryota; Fungi; Ascomycota; Sordariomycetes; Hypocreales; Nectriaceae. The record is from RNAcentral.
CAACCCUCAAGCUCUGCUUGGCGUUGGGGAUCGGCAGAACGGCUCCCCGGAGCCGCGCCGUCCCUGAAAUUUAGUGGCGGUCUCGCUGCAGCCUUCUAUGCGUAGUAGCACACCUCGCACUGGAGAGCAGCCUGGCCACGCCGUAAAACCCCCUAAUUUUUGU